GAUGAACGCUGGCGGCGUGCCUAAUACAUGCAAGUCGAGCGAACAGAUGAGGAGCUUGCUCCUCUGACGUUAGCGGCGGACGGGUGAGUAACACGUGGAUAACCUACCUAUAAGACUGGGAUAACUUCGGGAAACCGGAGCUAAUACCGGAUAAUAUAUUGAACCGCAUGGUUCAAUAGUGAAAGACGGUUUUGCUGUCACUUAUAGAUGGAUCCGCGCCGCAUUAGCUAGUUGGUAAGGUAACGGCUUACCAAGGCAACGAUGCGUAGCCGACCUGAGAGGGUGAUCGGCCACACUGGAACUGAGACACGGUCCAGACUCCUACGGGAGGCAGCAGUAGGGAAUCUUCCGCAAUGGGCGAAAGCCUGACGGAGCAACGCCGCGUGAGUGAUGAAGGUCUUCGGAUCGUAAAACUCUGUUAUUGGGGAAGAACAAAUGUGUAAGUAACUAUGCACGCCUUGACGGUACCUAAUCAGAAAGCCACGGCUAACUACGUG
Molecule: ribosomal RNA, 497 nt
Filed under: uncultured bacterium
Lineage: Bacteria
Description: partial 16S ribosomal RNA
Rfam family: Bacterial small subunit ribosomal RNA
Source: RNAcentral